AGAGUUUGAUCAUGGCUCAGAUUGAACGCUGGCGGCAGGCCUAACACAUGCAAGUCGAGCGGUAGCACAGAGAGCUUGCUCUCGGGUGACGAGCGGCGGACGGGUGAGUAAUGUCUGGGAAACUGCCUGAUGGAGGGGGAUAACUACUGGAAACGGUAGCUAAUACCGCAUAACGUCGCAAGACCAAAGUGGGGGACCUUCGGGCCUCAUGCCAUCAGAUGUGCCCAGAUGGGAUUAGCUAGUAGGUGGGGUAACGGCUCACCUAGGCGACGAUCCCUAGCUGGUCUGAGAGGAUGACCAGCCACACUGGAACUGAGACACGGUCCAGACUCCUACGGGAGGCAGCAGUGGGGAAUAUUGCACAAUGGGCGCAAGCCUGAUGCAGCCAUGCCGCGUGUGUGAAGAAGGCCUUCGGGUUGUAAAGCACUUUCAGCGGGGAGGAAGGCGUUAAGGUUAAUAACCUUGGCGAUUGACGUUACCCGCAGAAGAAGCACCGGCUAACUCCGUGCCAGCAGCCGCGGUAAUACGGAGGGUGCAAGCGUUAAUCGGAAUUACUGGGCGUAAAGCGCACGCAGGCGGUCUGUCAAGUCGGAUGUGAAAUCCCCGGGCUCAACCUGGGAACUGCAUUCGAAACUGGCAGGCUAGAGUCUUGUAGAGGGGGGUAGAAUUCCAGGUGUAGCGGUGAAAUGCGUAGAGAUCUGGAGGAAUACCGGUGGCGAAGGCGGCCCCCUGGACAAAGACUGACGCUCAGGUGCGAAAGCGUGGGGAGCAAACAGGAUUAGAUACCCUGGUAGUCCACGCCGUAAACGAUGUCGAUUUGGAGGUUGUGCCCUUGAGGCGUGGCUUCCGGAGCUAACGCGUUAAAUCGACCGCCUGGGGAGUACGGCCGCAAGGUUAAAACUCAAAUGAAUUGACGGGGGCCCGCACAAGCGGUGGAGCAUGUGGUUUAAUUCGAUGCAACGCGAAGAACCUUACCUGGUCUUGACAUCCACAGAACUUUCCAGAGAUGGAUUGGUGCCUUCGGGAACUGUGAGACAGGUGCUGCAUGGCUGUCGUCAGCUCGUGUUGUGAAAUGUUGGGUUAAGUCCCGCAACGAGCGCAACCCUUAUCCUUUGUUGCCAGCGGUUCGGCCGGGAACUCAAAGGAGACUGCCAGUGAUAAACUGGAGGAAGGUGGGGAUGACGUCAAGUCAUCAUGGCCCUUACGACCAGGGCUACACACGUGCUACAAUGGCAUAUACAAAGAGAAGCGACCUCGCGAGAGCAAGCGGACCUCAUAAAGUAUGUCGUAGUCCGGAUUGGAGUCUGCAACUCGACUCCAUGAAGUCGGAAUCGCUAGUAAUCGUAGAUCAGAAUGCUACGGUGAAUACGUUCCCGGGCCUUGUACACACCGCCCGUCACACCAU
This 1405-nucleotide ribosomal RNA is filed under the name Klebsiella pneumoniae. RNAcentral describes it as "bacterial SSU rRNA". It matches the Rfam family "Bacterial small subunit ribosomal RNA". Lineage: Bacteria; Pseudomonadati; Pseudomonadota; Gammaproteobacteria; Enterobacterales; Enterobacteriaceae. The record is from RNAcentral.